AGUGAACGCUGGCGGCGUGCCUAAUACAUGCAAGUCGAACGGUAGCAGCGUGUAGCAAUACACGGCUGACGAGUGGCGCACGGGUGAGUAAUGCAUAGGUCAUGUGCCCCAUAGUCUGGGAUAGCCACUGGAAACGGUGAUUAGUACCGGAUAUUCCCGAGAGGGGAAAGUUUUUCGCUAUGGGAUCAGCCUAUGCCCUAUCAGCUAGUUGGUGAGGUAAUGGCUCACCAAGGCUAUGACGGGUAUCCGGCCUGAGAGGGUGAACGGACACACUGGAACUGAGACACGGUCCAGACCCCUACGGGAGGCAGCAGUAGGGAAUAUUGCUCAAUGGGGGAAACCCUGAAGCAGCAACGCCGCGUGGAGGAUGAAGGUUUUCGGAUUGUAAACUCCUUUUCUAAGAGAAGAUUAUGACGGUAUCUUAGGAAUAAGCACCGGCUAACUCCGUGCCAGCCGCCGCGGUAA
RNAcentral lists this ribosomal RNA (465 nucleotides) under uncultured bacterium. RNAcentral describes it as "partial 16S ribosomal RNA". It matches the Rfam family "Bacterial small subunit ribosomal RNA", at positions 29 to 523 of the family's 1533-position model. The record is from RNAcentral.